This 450-nucleotide ribosomal RNA is filed under the name uncultured bacterium. RNAcentral's name for it is "bacterial SSU rRNA". It matches the Rfam family "Bacterial small subunit ribosomal RNA", at positions 29 to 526 of the family's 1533-position model. The record is from RNAcentral.
AACGAACGCUGGCGGCAGGCUUAACACAUGCAAGUCGAGCGCCCCGCAAGGGGAGCGGCAGACGGGUGAGUAACGCGUGGGAAUCUACCCAUCUCUACGGAAUAACUCAGGGGAACUUGUGCUAAUACCGUAUACGCCCUUCGGGGGAAAGAUUUAUCGGAGAUGGAUGAGCCCGCGUUGGAUUAGCUAGUUGGUGGGGUAAUGGCCUACCAAGGCGACGAUCCAUAGCUGGUCUGAGAGGAUGAUCAGCCACACUGGGACUGAGACACGGCCCAGACUCCUACGGGAGGCAGCAGUGGGGAAUAUUGGACAAUGGGCGCAAGCCUGAUCCAGCCAUGCCGCGUGAGUGAUGAAGGCCCUAGGGUUGUAAAGCUCUUUCACCGGUGAAGAUAAUGACGGUAACCGGAGAAGAAGCCCCGGCUAACUUCGUGCCAGCCGCCGCCGUAAGAC